This 216-nucleotide unclassified non-coding RNA is filed under the name fungal sp. Its description in RNAcentral is "partial internal transcribed spacer region". The stretch from base 1 to 46 matches the Rfam family "Eukaryotic small subunit ribosomal RNA", at positions 1786 to 1831 of the family's 1831-position model. Lineage: Eukaryota; Fungi. The record is from RNAcentral.
AAGUCGUAACAAGGUUUCCGUAGGUGAACCUGCGGAAGGAUCAUUACCGAGUACAGGGCCCCAAGCGGGCCCAUACUCAAACCCUUUGUGUACGUUCUCUGUUGCUUUGGCGGCGGCACAUGCAUGCCGUCGGAGGGUCUGCGAAACUCUUGCUAUUUAUGCAGUCUGAGCUAGGUACAAAUGUCAAAACUUUCAACAAUGGAUCUCUUGGUUCUG